UGAACGGUGGAGCAGUUGGCAGCACUGUUGCCUGGCAGCACUGUUGCCUUGCAGCAAGAAGGUCCUGGGUUCGACUCCCAGCUGGGGGUCUU
Non-coding RNA from Ataeniobius toweri, 92 nucleotides. NCBI's taxonomy places the organism in Eukaryota, Metazoa, Chordata, Actinopteri, Cyprinodontiformes, Goodeidae. The record is from the annotation of a GenBank genome assembly.